This 203-nucleotide non-coding RNA is filed under the name uncultured Prevotella sp. The record is from RNAcentral. Lineage: Bacteria; Pseudomonadati; Bacteroidota; Bacteroidia; Bacteroidales; Prevotellaceae.
UGAUAGGUUCGCUAUAAAGGCGAUUAAAAUGGGAAUCAGGUGGAAAUCCUGGACUGUCCCGCAGCUGUAAGUUGCCCUUCAUGGUGUAAACACGGCGUCACUGAGAGUAUUGUUGAGUGCUGAGUGUUGAGCGAAAAGUCAAUAAUAAGCAUUUCUCGGGAAGACGUUUGCAUCGGCAACAAGUCAGAAGACCUGCCCCUCAC